UACGUAGGGGGCGAGCGUUAUCCGGAUUUACUGGGCGUAAAGCGCGUUAAGGCGGUCGGCAAAGUUGGGGGUGAAAUCUUCGGGCUCAACCCGGAAACUGCCCCCAAUACUGGUCGACUGGAGUGUGAGAGAGGAAGGUGGAAUUCCCGGUGUAGUAGUGAAAUGCGUAGAUAUCGGGAGGAACACCAGUGGCGAAGGCGGCCUUCUGGCUCAUAACUGACGCUGUAGCGCGAAAGCGUGGGGAGCGAACCGG
This 253-nucleotide ribosomal RNA is filed under the name uncultured bacterium. Its description in RNAcentral is "partial 16S ribosomal RNA". It matches the Rfam family "Bacterial small subunit ribosomal RNA", at positions 524 to 776 of the family's 1533-position model. The record is from RNAcentral.